This 2883-nucleotide ribosomal RNA is filed under the name Clostridioides difficile. RNAcentral's name for it is "bacterial LSU rRNA". It matches the Rfam family "Bacterial large subunit ribosomal RNA". Lineage: Bacteria; Bacillati; Bacillota; Clostridia; Peptostreptococcales; Peptostreptococcaceae. The record is from RNAcentral.
AGGGUGCAGGGCGGAUGCCUUGGCACUAGGAGCCGAUGAAGGACGUGAUAAGCUGCGAUAAGCUUCGGGGAGUUGCACGUAAACUUUGAUCCGAAGAUUUCCGAAUGAGGAAACUCACUUAGAGUAAUGUCUAAGUAUCAUUAAGUGAAUACAUAGCUUAAUGAGGGGAACUCAGGGAACUGAAACAUCUAAGUACCUGAAGGAAGAGAAAGAAAUUCGAUUCCGUAAGUAGCGGCGAGCGAACGCGGAUUAGCCCAAACCAAUAAAGUUUUCUUUAUUGGGGUUGCGGACAUAUCAUAACGAAGAGGUAUCGUAAUUGAAGAGGUUUGGAAAGACCCACCACAGAAGGUAAUAGUCCUGUAUGUUAAACGAGAAGACUUUAGAUAUGAUCCAGAGUACCACGGGACACGUGAAACCCUGUGGGAAGCAGGAGGGACCACCCUCCAAGGCUAAAUACUACCUAGUGACCGAUAGCGUAUAGUACCGUGAGGGAAAGGUGAAAAGAACCCCGGGAGGGGAGUGAAAUAGAACCUGAAACCCUGCACUUACAAGCUGUGGAAGCACAUUUCUUGUGUGACCGCGUACUUUUUGUAGAACGGGCCAACGAGUUACGUUAAGUAGCAAGGUUAAGCACUUAAGGUGCGGAGCCGUAGCGAAAGCGAGUUUUAACUGAGCGUUCAGUUACUUGACGUAGACCCGAAACCGGGCGACCUACCCAUGAGCAGGAUGAAGCGAAAGUAAAAUUUCGUGGAGGUCCGAACCCACGAGCGUUGAAAAGCUCGGGGAUGACUUGUGGGUAGCGGUGAAAUUCCAAUCGAGCCCGGAGAUAGCUGGUUCUCCCCGAAAUAGCUUUAGGGCUAGCCUCAAGGUGAGAGAUACGGAGGUAGAGCACUGAAUGUCCUAGGGGGUAUUGCACCUACCGAAGACUAUCAAACUCCGAAUGCCGUCAUCUUAUACUUGGGAGUCAGACUGUGGGUGAUAAGAUUCAUAGUCGAAAGGGCAACAGCCCAGAUCGUCAGCUAAGGUCCCUAAAUGUAAGUUAAGUGGUAAAGGAUGUGGGAUUGCACAGACAACCAGGAUGUUGGCUUAGAAGCAGCCACUCAUUCAAAGAGUGCGUAAUAGCUCACUGGUCGAGUGAUCCUGCGCCGAAGAUUUCCGGGGCUAAAACUUACUACCGAAGCUACGGCAUCAGUAAUGAUGGGUAGGGGAGCUUCCCAUACGGGUUGAAGCAUGACCGUAAGGACAUGUGGACAGUAUGGGAGUGAGAAUGUUGGCAUGAGUAGCGAGAUGUGGGUGAGAAUCCCACAGGCCGUAAACCCAAGGUUUCCAGGGGAAGGUUCGUCCGCCCUGGGUUAGUCGGGACCUAAGCUGAGGCCGAAAGGCGUAGGUGAUGGACAACAGGUUGAUAUUCCUGUACUACCGAUAACCGUUUGAGAGAAGGGAUGACACAGUAGGAUAAGCUAAGCACACUGUUGGUUAUGUGUGCCCAAGCAUUGAGGCAGUCAAAGUAGGCAAAUCCGCUUUGAUAAUGCUGGGAUGUGAUGGGGAGCGAAAUUUAGUAGCGAAGUAGCUGAUUUCACACUGUCAAGAAAAGUCUCUAUCGAGGUUAAAGGUACCCGUACCGCAAACCGACACAGGUGGGUGAGGAGAGUAUCCUAAGGCCAGCGAGAGAACUGUUGUUAAGGAACUCGGCAAAAUGACCCCGUAACUUAGGGAUAAGGGGUGCCACCAUCAGGUGGCCGCAGAGAAUAGGCCCAAGCGACUGUUUACCAAAAACAUAGGUUUCUGCUAAGUCGCAAGACGAUGUAUAGGAGCUGACGCCUGCCCGGUGCUGGAAGGUUAAGGGGAUCUGUUAGAGCAAUCGAAGCAGUGAACUUAAGCCCCAGUAAACGGCGGCCGUAACUAUAACGGUCCUAAGGUAGCGAAAUUCCUUGUCGGGUAAGUUCCGACCCGCACGAAAGGCGUAACGAUUUGGGCACUGUCUCAACAACAGACUCGGUGAAAUUGUAAUUCCGGUGAAGAUGCCGGAUACCUGCGACAGGACGGAAAGACCCCAUGGAGCUUUACUGUAGCUUGACAUUGGGUCUUGGUACUACAUGUACAGGAUAGGUGGGAGGCUUUGAAACCAGGACGCCAGUUUUGGCGGAGCCAUCCUUGGGAUACCACCCUUGUAGUACUGGGACUCUAACCAUAGGCCAUGAAUCUGGUCUUGGGACACUGUCAGGUGGGCAGUUUGACUGGGGCGGUCGCCUCCCAAAAGGUAACGGAGGCGCUCAAAGGUUCUCUCAGUACGGUCGGAAAUCGUACGUAGAGUGUAAAGGCAAAAGAGAGCUUGAUUGCAAGACAUACAGGUCGAGCAAGGAUGAAAAUCGGACUUAGUGAUCCGGUGGUUCUGCGUGGAAGGGCCAUCGCUCAACGGAUAAAAGCUACCCUGGGGAUAACAGGCUUAUCUCCCCCAAGAGUCCACAUCGACGGGGAGGUUUGGCACCUCGAUGUCGGCUCAUCACAUCCUGGGGCUGUAGUAGGUCCCAAGGGUUGGGCUGUUCGCCCAUUAAAGUGGUACGCGAGCUGGGUUCAGAACGUCGUGAGACAGUUCGGUCCCUAUCCGUCGCAGGCGUAGGAAAUUUGAGAAGACCUGUCCUUAGUACGAGAGGACCGGGAUGGACGUACCUCUGGUGUACCAGUUGUUCUGCCAAGGGCAUGGCUGGGUAGCUAUGUACGGAAUGGAUAAGCGCUGAAAGCAUCUAAGCGCGAAGCCAACUUCAAGAUAAGAUUUCCCACCGCAAGGGUAAGACCCCAGAAAGACUAUCUGGUUGAUAGGUCGAAGGUGUAAGUGCAGCAAUGUAUUUAGCUUAUCGAUACUAAUAGGUCGAGGACUUGACC